UACAGAGGAGCCAAGCGUUGUCCGGAUUGACUGGGCGUAAAGCGCACGCAGGCGGUUGCGCGCGUGGGGUGUGAAAUCUGGCCGCUUAACGGCCAGGCGCCAUCCCAUACGGCGCGACUGGAGCGAUGCAGAGGUCGGUGGAAUUGCCGGUGUAGUGGUGAAAUGCGUAGAGAUCGGCAGGAACACCCAAGGGGAAACCAGCCGACUGGGCAUCUGCUGACGCUGAGGAGCGAAAGCGUGGGGAGCGAACAGG
This 253-nucleotide ribosomal RNA is filed under the name uncultured bacterium. Its description in RNAcentral is "partial 16S ribosomal RNA". It matches the Rfam family "Bacterial small subunit ribosomal RNA", at positions 524 to 776 of the family's 1533-position model. The record is from RNAcentral.